This 17-nucleotide microRNA is filed under the name Macrophomina phaseolina MS6. Its description in RNAcentral is "miR-4497". Lineage: Eukaryota; Fungi; Ascomycota; Dothideomycetes; Botryosphaeriales; Botryosphaeriaceae. The record is from RNAcentral.
AUCAGGGACGGCUGGGC